CCUCGAACCGGCCAAAAUCCUAGCUCGCCUUGCGCUUUCCUCGCAAAUCGACCUCCUCGAGUAUGGAAUCUGAUCAAAUCACAAGGAAUAUUUUAUAAUAAGCUAAUGGGACAUAAUCCAAUAGAAGGAACUCUAAAAACACCCAAAAACACGAUGUUGGAAAAACCCGAGCCCCGGGCCCACUUCUCAAAAAAUUACAAAAUUCACAUCACUGGAAUCCUUAUCUCGCCAAGAGUCCGCACAUAUCAAAUUUAGAAGAAUUGGAGUCCAUUUGACCCCUCAAAUUAACACUUUAAGCUCAUUUGGGUUUCAAACUCUAACCACCAUUUUUAACUUCAAAAACCUUGUAUUCUUUGUGUUUAAUCCAUGUUUUUACACCAUAAUGACAUAUUCUAGGUUCAAUAAUCCAUACCUGAUGUUUUCCUCCAAAAUCCUCUUCAAAAUUUCUCCCAAAUUUGCGUUAGUCCGAGGUCCAAAUGUUCUUCUCUUUUUUUAAACUUGCAAAAUUACUGUUCAUUAAACCCUGCUCGAUUUCCGCUUACGCUCCAACUUACCGCUCCUGCGGUCUCCACUUUUGCGGCCACACGACCGCUUACGCGGUCCAACUUAAAUCCCAUAACCCACUUCUGCUGUCAAACUAACGCCUCAGCGAUAACCGCCUAUGCGGUCUACUUUCUGCUUCCGCGAUCCAAGCCUUUCCUCAAGUUUCUCUUUUCCGGCUCAUCCGCCGCUUCUGCGGUCACCGCUUUAGCGGCUUCCCUUCUGGAGAAGCGGAAAUACCAGAAGCCAUCUACUGUUUUCAUGCAACAAACGCCCAAAACCUCUGAUCAACCAUCCAGAAAUACCCCAAGGCCCCGGGGACCCCAACCAAACCCACCAACCUAUUCCAAAACAUCAUACGAACAUGUUCCAAUCAUAAAAACACAACCUUUGACACAAAAAUCAUCAAAUCACGACGGAUUCAAGCCUAAGUUCAACUAUAACUUUCGAAACUCACAUUCGAUCAAAAACCCGACCAAACAAUGUCCGAUUGACUUGAAAAUUUGCAGAAAAAUCCAAAAUCACCUAACGAAGCUACAAAAACACUCAUAAUUCCAUUCAGAACCCUGGAUCAAAAUCUCACCUAUUAACAAAAUUUGCCAAAAUUCAAACUUAGCCAAUUCAAGCCUAAUUCUGCACCAGACCUCCAAAUUCAGUUCCGUUUUCACUCCCAAGUCAUAAAUCACCACCCGAAACUAGUUGAAUCAUCAAAAAGUCAUUCCGAGCCCUAUAACUUAUAAGUCAAUAUCCGGUUGACUUUUCCAAACUAGCUUUCUCUUAAAGAGACUAAUUUUCUCAAUUCCAAUCAAACUCUGACCGAAUCACUUCAAACUCCAUAAACACAUAUGAUGAAAUAUAAAGAAGCAUAAAACGGGGGGAAUGGGGCAUUAACACACGUGACGAAGGGCCGGGUCAUCACAAGAUUCUGGGUUCGUUCCCCAGCACAGUCACCAUAGCUAUCACGCCUCCUUUUUACUACCCCCGGAAAGGGUAUAAGGAAGAGUUUUUCAAUUAAAGUGAUAAUGGAAACAUGAUUAUUUUUAUUAAAUUCAGAGUCUCCACUUGGGAUAUUUUAUGGUGUCCCAAGUCACCGGUUUAAAUCCCGUAUUGAGGAAAGAUUAACUCUGUUUUAUAGUUCGCGAAGCAAAGAAAUUCAGGCAAGGAAUUCUAUUAACCCGGGAGAAGGUCUUUGGCAUUCCUGAGUUCCGUGAUUUUAGCACGGUUGCUCAACUGUUAUUAUUGACCUAUUUAUCUGAUUACAUCUUUGAAACCUAUGUGCAUUUUUAUUCCGUUUGCACCUUUUUUAAUAAUCCACAUGUUAUACAACUUAUUACUGAUUACACGUUUGCGAGUCAUGACACGGAAACCGUACCACGAUCCACAACGUGUCUAUUUUAUUAAAAGAAAUUAAAGUGUGGCCGGGGUUACAUAAAUGUACCCCCGAAUUUUAGAAAUUAAGCAUCACAAUUACAUCAUGGGAACCGUACCUGUAGCUAUGAUAAUUAUUUAAUUAACGCGCCUAAAGCAAACUACAAAAGUUCAAAGCAUUUUCUAACACUAGUUAAGAUAUCAAUGUGAGGGCAAUAGACUAGGUGAUUGGAUGGCACAUCUCAAUUUAUUAAAGGAAAAGCAAUUAGUUAAACUACAGAUAUUCAUAUUUACAACUUAUUAAUUUAGGUAUCACAACCACGCCACAGGAAUCGUACCCGUAGUUAUAAUUAUUAAAGUACGUGCCUAAAAUAAAAUACGAAUGUUUAUUAAUAAGACUUUUAAGCCCAAAUCCCCACAGACCAAUUCAAUAUCAAAAAAAUAUCUUUAUAUUUUUUUUAUCCAAACCAUACUGUUAGAGACAUACGGUGCCAUACCAUGAUGGAUGCCUUAUGUUCAACUAAUAAAUGAAAGGCACAACAGUUAUUUGCAUUUUUUCAAUAAACAAGUCAUUUAUGUCUGGGCAACUUGGUGGACAACACCCAUCCCCUGGUGUUGUUCUUUUUCUACUCCUUUAUUUCAAAACCAAAAGGCCAAUUUAAAAUGUUCAGCAUCACAAAAGAGUUCAUACCAGAAUUCAGUAGAUAUAAGGACGGUUUAACAACUAAUAAACUCUAUCAAGGGCUGAGAUUCACAAACUGCAGCAACAAAUUAAUAACAAAUUUCAGCUCAAUACUCGGAAAUCAAGCUAAGCACGCUAGUCGAAUUCAUUCAAAUCAAUUAACUCAAAACGAUUCAGUCCAGGUUCAACAAUAACUCAAACAUUUUCAAAUAUUUUAGCACAUAUGGACCUUAAGCACAUCACAACCACUCUAUUGACCACAACCUAGUAUGCUUCGCAAAUUCGAUACAUCUGUAAUUCCCUGCCCGAAUUUGACGAUAGUGAUAUAAGCUAAACAUGUUUAAAUCUUCUAACAUACAAUUACUCGGAAAAGGAUUCAAUCAUAUACAAAUGUAUCAAAAUUUCAUGGAGAGGAACAAAAGACAUGGUUCAUAUUAUGUCCAAGUAAAACUUGAAUUCAUAGUUGAAUACAUGGUUGGGCAAGAAAAAAUUGAAAGAGACAAAGAAAAAACACAACAAAGAGGGCUAAAGUUUAGCAAACAUGAGUAGAAAUUAGAGUGGAACCUCGAGCAACAGCUGGGAACUCGAUUCGGCACCAUGAAUCUCGAAUCGAACACGAACUGAAACCCAAAUCUCAGUCAAAUUCCAUUUUUAGGACAAAUAAACCUAGCCAAAAAUCCUUUCCCUCCAUUCUGGUUUUUUUCCAUUCUCUCUGCUCUGUGUGUGUUCAAUGACUAGUCGUGAAUGGUCGACUAGACCCACCGGUAAUCAAAUCCGAUGACUGGUGAUGGAAGCUUAGGGAGUUCGAUCUUCUGCUUCGGAGAUAGUGGUAUGGAUGUGGCCCUGGAGAAAUUGAGGGUGGUUAUUUGGCGAGGAGGUCUAAAGAUGCUGGUCUUGGAGAGGAGGGGUCUCGAUGGGUUUUCAAAAUGAAGAAGAAGGAAGAAAAAGCUGAUGGGUCUCUUUGUGUGAAGAAUGGCACUCCUUAGGCAUAAUUUUUGUGUGUGUAUUUUACAUCUGUUCUAGCUGAUUAGGCGUUACCC
RNAcentral lists this long non-coding RNA (3630 nucleotides) under Nicotiana benthamiana. RNAcentral describes it as "long non-coding RNA (NBEN_LNC018893)". Lineage: Eukaryota; Viridiplantae; Streptophyta; Magnoliopsida; Solanales; Solanaceae. The record is from RNAcentral.